CUCCCUUUGUUUACUUGAUCAGUGUAUUAUUUUCUACACGGUUAUCACCACUAAAACAUACUGCUGUACAUACUGCUCCGAUUGAUAAGUGUAAUAAAAUAGUUCAAUAUGGAUGAGAAAUCCCAUAAAUGUGAUAUAUGUGGAUUAGGGUUCAAACAGAGUGGAAAUUUACAUGCACACAAAAGAACACAUACUGGUGAAAAACCGCAUAAAUGUGAUAUAUGUGAUAAAGGUUUUAGUCAGCGGAGUAAUCUACAGAGACACGCGAGAACACACAGUGACGACAAACCUUAUACGUGUGAUGAAUGUGGUAAACAAUUCAUCCAAAGUAUCCAUUUAAAAGUACACAUCAGAUUACAUUCUGGUGAAAAACCUUAUCAAUGUGAAGUAUGCAGUAAACAAUUUUGUCGCAAUGGCGACUUGAAGAUACACAUGAGAACACACGGCACAGAAAAACCACGUGCGAUCAUGUGUGAAAUUUGCGGAAAAGAGUGCAGUAGAAAAGAUGUUCUACAGAAACAUAUGAGAACACAUACCGGUGAAAAACCAUUUAUGUGUGUAGUAUGCGGUAAAGAGUUUAAUCAGCUUGGGAACUUGAAAGCCCACAUGAGUCAACAUACUGGUGAGAAACCAUACGUGUGUGCAAUAUGCGGUAAAAGCUUUUAUCUGAAUUGCAUCUUGAAUAAACACAUGAAAAAACAUAGCGAUGAAAAACCUUAUGAGUGUGACGUGUGUGGUGAAGGCUUUAAGGAAAACUGGAACCUGCAGAAACAUGUUAAAAUACAUAUUGAUGAACCGAUAGAAAAACACAUCGGUGAAAUGCAUAUGAUUGAUCCACUGCAGGGUUCAACAUUGUAGAGCUUUGGACAUUUUCUUUGAAGAAUUCACAAAUUUUUGAACAGGAGAAUUUCUCGUUAUUACACAAAAUAAAGAACGAUAAACAUUUUAUAAUGUUAUAUGUAUAGAUCUAUCAAGUAAAUGUGGUAUACAUCAUUAGCGCCUUGGAAAGAUUUUAUCAUUUUCAUCAUUUUCUUUCCUAAAAUAUUUUCAACAAGUUUCUUGCUCAAACCAAAACCAAUUUGUUUGACAUCGAAAUACAAGUACAGUGGACGCUACUUCCACGAUAAAAUUGUGUUGGUUUGAUCAAGAUGAUGUUUAAUAAAGACAGAUAAGCUGAAUGAAUAAAACUUAAUUGGAAAUCUGCAAAACAGAAAAAAAAUAACCACCUCUGUGGUCUCCUGGUAUUACUCGUCUGGAGUGUGGAAUGUUUUGGGUUCCCGUGUUGAAGGCCGUACUUUGACCUAUAACUGUUUACUCUUUACACAUUGUGACUUGGAUGGAUAGUUGUCUCAUUGGCACUAAUACCACAUCUUAUUUAUAUGGUCUGUUCGGAGUCAGAGUAAUGUGUCUUAGUAAUGUGAUAUGACUUCCUGUGGACUAUAAACAAAUUGUUUAACAUUGUGAUUCCUCUGAUUUAUCUAAUGAGCCAAUAUGGAAUCAACACUAGUAAACUUAUGUUUGGAAUGAUGUAACAUGUCUGCGCCAAGGGAAAGUUUGUUUAAAUCAAAUUAAAUAGCCUUAUGGAAUCCACAUCGGUAUACGUAUGUUUUGGAUCGAUCCAACAUGUCUUCGUCCACUCGUGGUUAAAAUGUUGAAUCAAAUCAAACUUACAUAUACCGGUGUAGAUUUUAAACAGGUAUCUGUAACUUGAAUAAACACAUGAAAAAAUUUGGCCUUUUUAACUUUUUUUGAUUCGAGCGUCACUGAUGAGUCUUUUGUAGACGAAACGCGCGUCUGGCGCAAAUACAAAAUUUCAAUCCUGGUAUCUAUGAUGAGUUUAUUUGCAUGGUGUGAACAUUCUUCCUGGGUGCAGAAAUUUUGGAUCUGUCUAUACAUACGUAUACCAAUCUGGAUUCCAUACGGUGUGAACAAGCACGUUUAAAACCAAAUCCUUGUGUAGAUCUUGUACUUAGCCGGGCAUAUUCAUAUUAUUUACAUACUUUUGUCCCAAAUAUACAACAUGUUAUAUAUUUGACGGUUGGUGUUAACCAGCAUACAUGAAUCAAUCAAUCAAUCAUUAGAACAAUAAAAGGGGUCUGUACACCAGUGGAAGAAAUCGUACUGAAGUUUCAUCACACCCUUGUUAAACCAAUACGGUAACAAUAGUAUAUUACACAUUGUAGAUGAAAAAGGUUUUUCCGACAACAGCGUAGUUCUCAACAUGUUCCUAAAAGGAUUUGUUUGGACCGACUUCCUCUGAAUAUAUUAAUUAAACUUAUAGGGUAAAAUAAAAAAGUUCAUGAAACUCCGUGAAAUUUAAAUAUUAAAAAUGUCAAUAAGCAUUUGAUAUCUCAACAUUAUAACAUUGCAUUUUAAAAGUCUGAAUAAUAUGCUGAAAGGAAUUUUGGUGUAUAAAAAAAGAAGAUUUUAACCGCUAAUUGUGUUGUUACAGACAAUUUUGGUAAAUUUUGGAGCUGUUACAUGUUGAUUUUUUUUAAAAAUUAUUGAUUAAUAGUCAACGGAUUGGAGUUGUCAAUGUUUCAUAGUUAGUCCUUUUUGGCCUCAAAUUGUCAACAUAAUAAAAAUAUUAAUGUUUCA
Molecule: long non-coding RNA, 2598 nt
Organism: Mytilus californianus (California mussel)
Lineage: Eukaryota; Metazoa; Mollusca; Bivalvia; Mytilida; Mytilidae
Exons: 2
Source: RefSeq, a predicted model, not a curated record